This 403-nucleotide ribosomal RNA is filed under the name uncultured bacterium. Its description in RNAcentral is "partial 16S ribosomal RNA". It matches the Rfam family "Bacterial small subunit ribosomal RNA", at positions 28 to 526 of the family's 1533-position model. The record is from RNAcentral.
GACGAACGCUGGCGGUGUGCCUAAUACAUGCAAGUCGAACGCAGUGGGGACGGGUGAGUAACACGUGGGUAACCUCCCAUCAGAGGGGAUAACACUUGGAAACAGGUGCUAAACCGAUACUGAUGGAUGGACCCGCGGUGCAUUAGCUAGUUGGUGAGGUAACGGCUCACCAAGGCCACGAUGCAUAGCCGACCUGAGAGGGUGAUAGGCCACACUGGGACUGAGACACGGCCCAGACUCCUACGGGAGGCAGCAGUAGGGAAUCUUGCGCAAUGGGCGAAAGCCUGACGCAGCCAUGCCGCGUGAAUGAUGAAGGUCUUAGGAUUGUAAAAUUCUUUCACCGGGGACGCGGUACCCGGAGAAGAAGCCCCGGCUAACUUCGUGCCAGCAGCCGCGGUAAUAC